Molecule: long non-coding RNA, 429 nt
Filed under: Homo sapiens (human)
Lineage: Eukaryota; Metazoa; Chordata; Mammalia; Primates; Hominidae
Description: non-protein coding lnc-KLHL13-3:1
Source: RNAcentral
UGAUUGUUAUGCUUUUCCUCCCCCAGCACCCAGAGAUCCUCUCUGCACCACACCACCUUGUCUGCUGGGAAGUGGGGGAGGAGUGGCCUCAGUGAUUCAAGACUCUCCUUUCUACCUCUUGAGAGUGUCUUUCAGCAAUACGAAGUUGAAACCAGGGUCUCCCUCUGUAACCCAGCGUGGAGUGCAGUGGCACAAACAUGGCUCUCUGCAGCCUUGACCUCCUAGGCUCAAGCAAUCCUCCUGCCUCAGCCUUCUGAGUAGUUGGGAUCACAAGAGUGCACCACUGCAUCUAGCUAAUUAUGUUAUUUUACUUUUUAAAGAGACAGGGUCUCACUUUGUUUGCCAGGCUGGUCUCAAACUGCUGGGCUCAAGCGAUUCUCCUGCCUCAGUCUCCCAAAGUGGUGAGAUUAUAGGUGUGAACCACCGCUC